This 73-nucleotide transfer RNA is filed under the name Gadus morhua (Atlantic cod). RNAcentral's name for it is "tRNA-Arg (TCT) (tRNA-Arg-TCT-13-1)". It matches the Rfam family "tRNA". From Rfam's summary of the family: Transfer RNA (tRNA) molecules are approximately 80 nucleotides in length. Their secondary structure includes four short double-helical elements and three loops (D, anti-codon, and T loops). Further hydrogen bonds mediate the characteristic L-shaped molecular structure. tRNAs have two regions of fundamental functional importance: the anti-codon, which is responsible for specific mRNA codon recognition, and the 3' end, to which the tRNAs corresponding amino acid is attached (by aminoacyl-tRNA synthetases). tRNAs cope with the degeneracy of the genetic code in two manners: having more than one tRNA (with a specific anti-codon) for a particular amino acid; and 'wobble' base-pairing, i.e. permitting non-standard base-pairing at the 3rd anti-codon position. The record is from RNAcentral. Lineage: Eukaryota; Metazoa; Chordata; Actinopteri; Gadiformes; Gadidae.
GGCUCUGUGGCGCAAUGGAUAGCGCGUUGGACUUCUAAUUCAAAGGUUGUGGUUUUGAGUCCCACCAGAGUCG